This 21-nucleotide non-coding RNA is filed under the name Caenorhabditis elegans. Lineage: Eukaryota; Metazoa; Nematoda; Chromadorea; Rhabditida; Rhabditidae. The record is from RNAcentral.
UCGUCAUGGCUUUAACCGUAA